Molecule: transfer RNA, 85 nt
Filed under: Felis catus (domestic cat)
Lineage: Eukaryota; Metazoa; Chordata; Mammalia; Carnivora; Felidae
Also listed under: 3 other names
Rfam family: tRNA
About the family: Transfer RNA (tRNA) molecules are approximately 80 nucleotides in length.
Source: Rfam by way of RNAcentral
GCCUGGGUGGCUCAGUCGGUUAAGCAUCUGACUUUGGCUCAGGUCAUGAUCUCACGGUUUGUGAGUUCGAGCCCCACGUCAGGCU